CAAAGGAAUUGACGGGGGCCCGCACAAGCAGCGGAGCAUGUGGUUUAAUUCGAAGCAACGCGAAGAACCUUACCAGGGCUUGACAUCCACAGUAGGCAUUAGAGAUAGUGCUGUGCCUCGUAAGAGGAACUGUGAGACAGGUGGUGCAUGGUUGUCGUCAGCUCGUGUCGUGAGAUGUUGGGUUAAGUCCCGCAACGAGCGCAACCCCUAUUGCUAGUUGCUACCGCGUAGAGGCGAGCACUCUAGCGAGACUGCCGGGGACAACUCGGAGGAAGGUGGGGAUGACGUCAAA
Molecule: ribosomal RNA, 292 nt
Filed under: uncultured eukaryote
Lineage: Eukaryota
Description: partial 18S ribosomal RNA
Rfam family: Bacterial small subunit ribosomal RNA
Source: RNAcentral